Long non-coding RNA from Astatotilapia calliptera (eastern happy), 2779 nucleotides. NCBI's taxonomy places the organism in Eukaryota, Metazoa, Chordata, Actinopteri, Cichliformes, Cichlidae. The record is from Ensembl.
UAGACCUACAGCAGACAACUCUGAGCAUGAGGUGCAUUCUGUUGGAGGUCAGCGUGGCACUUCUUCUCUGAAAGAGUUAAUUGGUGAAGUUGGUGUCCAGUAUCAGGAGUUGUCACCCCAAGCGUUCUCAGAAGAACUUACCAGUGAGAGCAAAUCGAAAGAGGUGCCACAAUCAUCCAGAGCUGUGCCUAACGACUCUGCUUGUGAGCUAAAGAUCGCAAGCAUCCCUUCUGGUCAACAGUGUGUUGCAGAGCCUAUUGCCCAUGACGUGGAGCACCAUGUGAUCUCUACAGACUCAUUCACAGACAGAGAAUUAAGAGCAGAGUGUCAGUCAUCUAGACCUACAGCAGACAACUCUGAGCAUGAGGUGCAUUCUGUUGGAGGUCAGCGUGGCACUUCUUCUCUGAAAGAGUUAAUUGGUGAAGUUGGUGUCCAGUAUCAGGAGUUGUCACCCCAAGCGUUCUCAGAAGAACUUACCAGUGAGAGUAAAUCGAAAGAGGUGCCACAAUCAUCCAGAGCUGUGCCUAACGACUCUGCUUGUGAGUGUACAAUUCAUAGGCUGGUAUUUGAAUCGGUGAAACUUGACAAAUGCGGGAUAUGCCAUUCACCUUUGACAGCUAUCAGAUGGCACGGUCUAAGAUGCAAGCAAUGCCGUUGUGUGUGGCAUAAGAUCUGCCUCCAGACAUCUUCAGAAGACUGGGAUAUGUCCGACGGUGAUGUCUCAUCUGAUGAAGAAUACAUCCCAAAUUCUGCAUCAGAUUCAGAAAGCUCAGGAACAGAGUUGUCUAUUGAGUUACCUGGACCAUCAAAAAACUCCCAUGCUGCUAGCAUGCCUGAUUUAUGCGUUACUUUUGCUGAAAAAGAACAGACCAUGGAUGUUAAGAACAACUUUGAGCACAUUUUGAAUGAUCUUGAAACUACUGAUGAUCUUCAUCCCGACCAAGAACCAGACAGCUCAGAGUCAUGCCAGCAGAAAACAAAAGAUGCAUGUAGCGAAAAGAGUACUGUGGAUAUUAGCCAAAAUGAAUCCCCAACCAAGUCAACAAAAUUAAUCAAAAGCACAGUCAAUUUUUGUUUUGUGUGUGGAAAACCUCAAACAAAAUUUGCACGUCAUCUGGAGACGCAUGUAAAUGAAAAUGCUGAAGUCGCCCAGGUGCUUCAGUUACCCAAAUCAUCAAAGGACAGAAAAGUUCAUCUUGAAAGGUUACGAAACCUUGGUAACUUCAAGCACAACUCUGCUGUUAAAACCACAGGAUCAGGUUGUCUUAAAGUGAAAAGGAUCUCAAAAAAGAGCAGCAGCAGCGCUGAGACAUACGAGUACUGCUUAUACUGUAAGGGUAUGAUAUCCAGAAAAGAAGUUUCUCGGCAUAUGAAAAGAUGUGCUUUAAGACCAGAGAAUAAUGCUGAAGAGAAGCUGAAAGAUAGAGUCUUUGGUAUAGCAUCUACUCAAUCCACAAUGUCUCAGCCAAUUUCAAGUGAACUCUACUCAGUACUGGGCAAGAUGCACAAGGAUGAUGUGUCUAGUGCAAUAAGGAAUGAUCAUUAUAUUAUGCAGUUGGCUCAGUCUCUUUUUAAUAAGCAUGGAAGUGACAGAUCAAAGCAUGAGUAUAUAAGACAGAAAGUAAGGGAACUUGGGAGAUUACUUGUGACUUUGCGUCACACAACAAGAAUCCAUAAUAUGGAAGAGGCAAUAAAACCAGCCAACUUCUUUAUUCUUACUAAUGCUGUCAAGAGAGUUUCAGGUUUUGAUACUGAAACCAGCACAUUCAAAGCCCCAAGUUUGGCCCUGAAGCUUGGACAUUCUCUCAGAAAAAUAAGUGAUAUUAUCAUGUGUCGUGCUCUCAUGGAAGAGGAUCAAGAGGCGAUCGAUUCAAUCAGGAGGUUUCACACACUUCAUGAAACAAAGUGGUCUGAAUUAGUUUCCCAUUCAGCCUUAUCAAACCUGAGUGAGGCAAAAUACAACAAGGUCGACAGCCUUCCACUGACCAGAGAUGUUCAGAAGCUGCAGUUAUAUCUUGGUCAGCAAGUGGAAUCAGCUAGGGAGAAACUAGGUGAUAACCCAACAGCAGGAACUUAUGCAGCACUAGCAAAGGUGAUCCUUUGUCAAGUGAUUUUGUUCAAUAGGAGGAGGGAAGGUGAAGUAGCACGUAUGACUGUCAAAAAUUUUGAAGAUCGUGACAUGUCCAAACUAAACGAUGACAUCAGCUCUGGGCUUACAGAAGUUGAGAAAAGGCUUUGCCAACAGUUUGCCAGAGUGGAACUGAAGGGGAAAAAAGGACGAAAGGUGGCUGUGAUCCUGACUUCUGAUAUGACCAAUAACCUGUCACUCCUCGUUAGUAAGAGGAAAGAGUGCGGGGUAUCUGAAAACAAUAUGUACCUUUUCGCCAUUCCUUGUAGUGAUGGUCACUACAGAGGGCAGUUUGGUCAGUUUGCAGAUGCUUGCGGAGCUGAACAUCCUCAGAACCUCAGAUCAACUAACCUUCGCAAACAGAUUGCCACGAUAAGCCAAGUCAUGAACUUGAAAGAUAAUGAACUAGACCAGCUGGCCGAUUUCCUCGGCCAUGACAUUAGGGUCCAUAGAGAAUACUAUCGACUGCCCCAAUCAACAAUUCAGCUGGCUAAGAUCUCCAAGUUGCUCAUGGCCAUGGAGAAGGGAACUGUGAAGGAUAUUCAAGGAAAAACUCUGGAUGAAAUUGGUGAUGACAUAGAUGGGAUGGCUACUGGAUCACAGCAACUCCCUGAUGCUUCCACAUUGCGAGGUACUGAAAUUAUUGUAUUC